UACGUAGGGACCAAGCGUUGUUCGGAUUUACUGGGCGUAAAGGGCGCGUAGGCGGCAAUUCAAGUCAGCUGUGAAAUCUCCGGGCUUAACUCGGAACGGUCAGCUGAUACUGCUUUGCUAGAGUACAGAAGGGGCAAUCGGAAUUCUUGGUGUAGCGGUGAAAUGCGUAGAUAUCAAGAGGAACACCUGAGGUGAAGACGGGUUGCUGGGCUGAUACUGACGCUGAGGCGCGAAAGCUAGGGGAGCAAACGGG
Molecule: ribosomal RNA, 253 nt
Filed under: uncultured bacterium
Lineage: Bacteria
Description: partial 16S ribosomal RNA
Rfam family: Bacterial small subunit ribosomal RNA
Source: RNAcentral